This 123-nucleotide ribosomal RNA is filed under the name Pyrenochaeta sp. Its description in RNAcentral is "partial large subunit ribosomal RNA". Lineage: Eukaryota; Fungi; Ascomycota; Dothideomycetes; Pleosporales; Cucurbitariaceae. The record is from RNAcentral.
AGCUCAAAUUUGAAAUCUGGCAGUUCUUGCGACUGUCCGAGUUGUAAUUUGCAGAGGGAGCUUUCGAGUUGGCAGCGGUCUAAGUUCCUUGGAACAGGACGUCACAGAGGGUGAGAAUCCCGU